UGGGGAAUUUUGGACAAUGGGCGCAAGCCUGAUCCAGCCAUGCCGCGUGAGUGAUGAAGGCCUUAGGGUUGUAAAGCUCUUUCGCCGGUGAAGAUAAUGACGGUAACCGGAGAAGAAGCCCCGGCUAACUUCGUGCCAGCAGCCGCGGUAAUACGAAGGGGGCUAGCGUUGCUCGGAAUCACUGGGCGUAAAGCGCACGUAGGCGGAUCGUUAAGUCAGGGGUGAAAUCCUGGGGCUCAACCUCAGAACUGCCCUUGAUACUGGCGAUCUCGAGUUCGAGAGAGGUUGGUGGAACUCCGAGUGUAGAGGUGAAAUUCGUAGAUAUUCGGAAGAGCACCAGUGGCGAAGGCGGCCAACUGGCUCGAUACUGACGCUGAGGUGCGAAAGCGUGGGGAGCAAACA
RNAcentral lists this ribosomal RNA (402 nucleotides) under uncultured bacterium. Its description in RNAcentral is "bacterial SSU rRNA". It matches the Rfam family "Bacterial small subunit ribosomal RNA", at positions 355 to 774 of the family's 1533-position model. The record is from RNAcentral.